This 68-nucleotide transfer RNA is filed under the name Marmota marmota marmota (Alpine marmot). It matches the Rfam family "tRNA". Rfam says of the family: Transfer RNA (tRNA) molecules are approximately 80 nucleotides in length. Lineage: Eukaryota; Metazoa; Chordata; Mammalia; Rodentia; Sciuridae. The record is from Rfam by way of RNAcentral. RNAcentral also lists the same sequence under 1 other name.
GUGGUGGCUCAGUGGUAGAACACUUGCCUAGCAUGUGUGAGGCCCUGGGUUCGAUUCUCAGCACCACA